RNAcentral lists this ribosomal RNA (774 nucleotides) under uncultured Neocallimastigales. RNAcentral describes it as "partial large subunit ribosomal RNA". It matches the Rfam family "Eukaryotic large subunit ribosomal RNA", at positions 24 to 640 of the family's 3401-position model. The record is from RNAcentral. Lineage: Eukaryota; Fungi; Neocallimastigomycota; Neocallimastigomycetes; Neocallimastigales.
UAUGUGAUCGUCUCUCGCAUAUCAAUAAGCGGAGGAAAAGAAACUAACAAGGAUUCCCCUAGUAACGGCGAGUGAAGCGGGAAGAGCUCAAAUUUGAAAUCUUAAAGGGUUUCCCUUUACGAAUUGUAGUUUAAAGAAGUGUUUUCUGUUGAGGUUUUGGUAAAAGUUCUUUGGAAUAGGACAUCAUAGAGGGUGAGUAAUCCCGUAUUUGACCUUUACUUUCAACUUUGUGAUACACUUUCAAAGAGUCGGAUUGUUUGGGAAUGCAGUCCAAAAUGGGUGGUAAAUUUCAUCUAAAGCUAAAUAUUGGCGAGAGACCGAUAGCGAACAAGUACCGUGAGGGAAAGAUGAAAAGAACUUUGAAAAGAGAGUUAAACAGUACGUGAAAUUGUCAAAAGGGAAGCGUUUGACACCAGUGUUGUUUUCUGAAAAUCAAUUAAAGAACUGUUUAUGCUAAGUUGUUUAGACUUUAUCAGCUAUCUGUUUAGUUUUGAGCUUUUCUUUAAUGCACUUUUCAGUUAACAAGUCAACAUCAAUUUCUUUUGCUGUAAAAAAGCUUGAGGAAGGUGGCUUGAGAUUCGUCUUAAGUGUUUAUAGCCUCUUGCCUAUGCAGUCGGAGAGAUUGAGGUCUGCAGCGUAGAUCCUUCGGGGCUAAAUGCAUUUGUGCUAAGUUAUAGCAUUUUAUAGACAACUUGUUGACUAUGAUUUGUCUUGUAGCUUACUCGCUUAUGUUAUUUUACCUACGCUUAGGAUGUUGAUCUACAGAGCGAGAGU